This 1136-nucleotide long non-coding RNA is filed under the name Ailuropoda melanoleuca (giant panda). RNAcentral describes it as "lncRNA (ENSAMEG00000029806.1)". The record is from RNAcentral. Lineage: Eukaryota; Metazoa; Chordata; Mammalia; Carnivora; Ursidae.
GCAGCCACAUGGCUGACUUCACGCAGAUCAUGAUCCAGCUGCUGCUGUCAUUCAGAGCACACAACUGAGGAAGUGACUGGGCGGUUCAUGGAAAGGAGCCAGUUCGCCUCUUGAACUCAGCCAGUGCCCAGUGGUUAAAGCAGGAUGCUGUAUGUACGUCAGCCUCCAUAGAGUGUGUCAGGAAAGUGCGACUGAGAUCUUCAUGUCUCUUCCACCAGCUGUGGGACAUGAAACACAGUGUCAGAUUCGCCUGGGCCUUAACUAACCAGCCCCGGAGCUAAAUAACCACCGCAAAUCCUAUUCCUGGAGGUCUGUGUGAGCCCCGGCACCAGGGAAGACCCUGACUUCCGCCUCGGGCAGGGGGAGACUUGCUGGUGCGAUCACACCGUAGAACACAGACAGAACUUAACCUAUUUGGAGGCGCAGAAGAAACAGAGCAGGAUUUUGCCUUUUGAAUAUACUGGGAAGAAAAGAAGCGCUCAGAGCCCAGUAAAAGCUGAACAUUACCAAGUCUUUUUCAACACUGAAAUUAGGUCCCGUGAGCACGAGGCCCACCUAGCAGCCGGGAUUGUUACGCAGCAGCAUCUAAAUGGGAGAUGAACAGUCCUAGCCACAUGCUGGUUUGGAGGCAGUUUCCUGCAAAACGACGCUGUAAAUCCAGGAAGCUGUGUCUUCCCUAUUUCCUGAAGUACUAUUGGGAUGUUUCUGAAGAGAGUCGGACAUGUGACAUAGACCAGCCAAUCAGAGGAUUCUCUGCCCUGCCAGAAGCCGUCAAUCGGAGUUCCCUGCCCUGCCACAGGCCAGCCAAUCCGAGUUCUCUGUCCUGCUACAGGCUAGCCAAUCAGAGGAGUCCCUGAUCGUCCACAAGCCAGUCAAUCAGAGUUCCCCGCGCUUCCACAGGCCAGCCAGUCCGAGUUCUCUGCCCUACAAAGGCUAGCCAAUCAGAGAAUUCCCUGUCCGGGCCUUAGGCCGGUGGAUCAGCGCCGUCUACUUUUCCCCAGUUCCACCCCUGGCUUUGAAAAAUUGACUUGUAGGUGUGGGAGGGAGUGGCUUUCUCUCAUCUGGGAUUGAGAUCUACACAAAGAAGCAGAGAAGAGCAGAGAGAAGAGAUGGAGAAUGAGAGAAAGGGAAACCCG